UACGUAUGUCACAAGCGUUAUCCGGAUUUAUUGGGCGUAAAGCGUGUCUAGGCGGCUAUGUAAGUCUGAUGUGAAAGUGCGGGGCUCAACUCCGUAUUGCGUUGGAAACUGUGUAGCUAGAGUAUCGGAGAGGUAAGCGGAACUACAAGUGUAGAGGUGAAAUUCGUAGAUAUUUGUAGGAAUGCCGAUGGGGAAGCCAGCUUACUGGACGAAUACUGACGCUAAAGCGCGAAAGCGUGGGUAGCAAACAGG
This 252-nucleotide ribosomal RNA is filed under the name uncultured bacterium. RNAcentral's name for it is "partial 16S ribosomal RNA". It matches the Rfam family "Bacterial small subunit ribosomal RNA", at positions 524 to 776 of the family's 1533-position model. The record is from RNAcentral.